AAUAGAUACCCCGGUAGUCCACGCCGUAAACGAUGAGUGCUAAGUGUUAGGGGGGUUUCCGCCCCUUAGUGCUGCAGCUAACGCAUUAAGCACUCCGCCUGGGGAGUACGGUCGCAAGACUGAAACUCAAAGGAAUUGACGGGGGCCCGCACAAGCGGUGGAGCAUGUGGUUUAAUUCGAAGCAACGCGAAGAACCUUACCAGGUCUUGACAUCCCGCUGACCGGCCUAGAGAUAGGCUUUUCCCUUCGGGGACAGCGGUGACAGGUGGUGCAUGGUUGUCGUCAGCUCGUGUCGUGAGAUGUUGGGUUAAGUCCCGCAACGAGCGCAACCCUUGAUCUUAGUUGCCAGCAUUCAGUUGGGGCACUCUAAGGUGACUGCCGGUGAUAAACCGGAGGAAGGUGGGGAUGACGUCAAAUCAUCAUGCCCCUUAUGACCUGGGCUACACACGUGCUACAAUGGACGGUACAGAGGGUCGNAACCCCGGCGAGGGUGAGCUAAUCCCAUAAAACCGGUUCUCAGUUCGGAUUGUAGG
Molecule: ribosomal RNA, 533 nt
Filed under: uncultured bacterium
Lineage: Bacteria
Description: bacterial SSU rRNA
Rfam family: Bacterial small subunit ribosomal RNA
Source: RNAcentral